AGCGAACGCUGGCGGCGUGCUUAACACAUGCAAGUCGAGCGAGAAAGUCCCGCAAGGGAUGAGUACAGCGGCGAACGGGUGCGUAACACGUGGGCAAUCUGUCCUUGAGACCGGAAUAACCCAGCGAAAGUUGGGCUAAUGCCGGAUAAGACCACGAGCAGACAUGUUUGCGGUCAAAGGGCGCUUCUUCUAGGAGCAUUCACUCACGGAGGAGCCCGCGGCCUAUCAGCUAGUUGGUAGGGUAACGGCCUACCAAGGCAAAGACGGGUAGCUGGUCUGGGAGGAUGACCAGCCACACGGGGACUGAGA
RNAcentral lists this ribosomal RNA (309 nucleotides) under uncultured bacterium. RNAcentral's name for it is "bacterial SSU rRNA". It matches the Rfam family "Bacterial small subunit ribosomal RNA", at positions 29 to 324 of the family's 1533-position model. The record is from RNAcentral.